This 119-nucleotide ribosomal RNA is filed under the name Scophthalmus maximus (turbot). The record is from RNAcentral. Lineage: Eukaryota; Metazoa; Chordata; Actinopteri; Pleuronectiformes; Scophthalmidae.
GCUUACGGCCACACCGCCUGGUUCACGCCCGAUCUCGUUUGAUCUCGGAAGCUAAGAUAGGUUUGGCCUGGUUAGUACUUGGAUGGGAGACCGCCUAGGAAUACCAGGUGCUGUAAGGC